This 527-nucleotide ribosomal RNA is filed under the name uncultured bacterium. Its description in RNAcentral is "bacterial SSU rRNA". It matches the Rfam family "Bacterial small subunit ribosomal RNA", at positions 8 to 524 of the family's 1533-position model. The record is from RNAcentral.
AGAGUUUGAUCCUGGCUCAGAUUGAACGCUGGCGGCAGGCCUAACACAUGCAAGUCGAACGGUAACAGGAAGCAGCUUGCUGCUUCGCUGACGAGUGGCGGACGGGUGAGUAAUGUCUGGGAAACUGCCUGAUGGAGGGGGAUAACUACUGGAAACGGUAGCUAAUACCGCAUAACGUCGCAAGACCAAAGAGGGGGACCUUAGGGCCUCUUGCCAUCGGAUGUGCCCAGAUGGGAUUAGCUAGUAGGUGGGGUAACGGCUCACCUAGGCGACGAUCCCUAGCUGGUCUGAGAGGAUGACCAGCCACACUGGAACUGAGACACGGUCCAGACUCCUACGGGAGGCAGCAGUGGGGAAUAUUGCACAAUGGGCGCAAGCCUGAUGCAGCCAUGCCGCGUGUAUGAAGAAGGCCUUCGGGUUGUAAAGUACUUUCAGCGGGGAGGAAGGGAGUAAAGUUAAUACCUUUGCUCAUUGACGUUACCCGCAGAAGAAGCACCGGCUAACUCCGUGCCAGCAGCCGCGGUAAA